AUUGAACGCUGGCGGAAUGCUUUACACAUGCAAGUCGAACGGCAGCACGGACUUCGGUCUGGUGGCGAGUGGCGAACGGGUGAGUAAUGUAUCGGAACGUGCCCAGUCGUGGGGAUAACGUAGUGAAACUUACGCUAAUACCGCAUACGAUCUAUGGAUGAAAGCGGGGGAUCGCAAGACCUCGCGCGAUUGGAGCGGCCGAUAUCAGAUUAGGUAGUUGGUGGGGUAAAGGCCCACCAAGCCAACGAUCGGUAGCUGGUCUGAGAGGACGCCCAGCCACACUGGAACUGAGACACGGUCCAGACUCCUACGGGAGGCAGCAGUGGGGAAUUUUGGACAAUGGGCGAAAGCCUGAUCCAGCCAUUCCGCGUGCAGGAUGAAGGCCCUCGGGUUGUAAACUGCUUUUGUACAGAACGAAAAGGUUUCUACUAAUACUAGGAGCUCAUGACGGUACUGUAAGAAUAAGCACCGGCUAACUACGUGCCAGCCGCCGCGGUAA
This 499-nucleotide ribosomal RNA is filed under the name uncultured bacterium. RNAcentral's name for it is "partial 16S ribosomal RNA". It matches the Rfam family "Bacterial small subunit ribosomal RNA", at positions 30 to 523 of the family's 1533-position model. The record is from RNAcentral.